CCUACGGGAGGCUGCAGUGGGGAAUAUUGGACAAUGGGGGGAACCCUGAUCCAGCCAUGCCGCGUGUGUGAAGAAGGCCCUCGGGUUGUAAAGCACUUUCAGUGAGGAAGAACGCCUGGUGGUUAAUACCCAUCAGGAAAGACAUCACUCACAGAAGAAGCACCGGCUAACUCCGUGCCAGCAGCCGCGGUAAUACGGAGGGUGCGAGCGUUAAUCGGAAUUACUGGGCGUAAAGCGCGCGUAGGUGGCUUGAUAAGCCGGUUGUGAAAGCCCCGGGGUCAACCUGGGAACGGCAUCCGGAACUGUCAAGCUAGAGUGCAGGAGAGGAAGGUAGAAUUCCCGGUGUAGCGGUGAAAUGCGUAGAGAUCGGGAGGAAUACCAGUGGCGAAGGCGGCCUUCUGGACUGACACUGACACUGAGGUGCGAAAGCGUGGGUAGCAAACAGGAUUAGAUACCCGUGUAGUC
RNAcentral lists this ribosomal RNA (465 nucleotides) under Vreelandella stevensii. RNAcentral describes it as "partial 16S ribosomal RNA". It matches the Rfam family "Bacterial small subunit ribosomal RNA", at positions 338 to 795 of the family's 1533-position model. Lineage: Bacteria; Pseudomonadati; Pseudomonadota; Gammaproteobacteria; Oceanospirillales; Halomonadaceae. The record is from RNAcentral.